CCUACGGGAGGCAGCAGUGGGGAAUAUUGCACAAUGGGGGAAACCCUGAUGCAGCGACGCCGCGUGAGUGAGGAAGUAUCUCGGUAUGUAAAGCUCUAUCAGCAGGGAAGAAAAUGACGGUACGUGACUAAGAAGCCCCGGCUAACUACGUGCCAGCAGCCGCGGUAAUACGUAGGGGGCAAGCGUUAUCCGGAUUUACUGGGUGUAAAGGGAGCGUAGAGGGAAUAGCAAGUCUGAUGUGAAAGCCCGGGGCUCAACUGCGGGAGUGCAUUUGAAACUGUUGAUCUAGAGUAUCGGAGAGGUAGGCGGAAUUCGUAGUGUAGCGGUGAAAUGCGUAGAUAUUAGGAGGAACACCGAUUGCGAAGGCAGCUUGCUAAACUAUGACUGACGUUGAGGCUCGAAAGCGUGGGGAGCAAACAGGAUUAGAUACCCUAGUAGUC
This 440-nucleotide ribosomal RNA is filed under the name uncultured bacterium. RNAcentral describes it as "partial 16S ribosomal RNA". It matches the Rfam family "Bacterial small subunit ribosomal RNA", at positions 338 to 795 of the family's 1533-position model. The record is from RNAcentral.